CAGGAAAUGAACUUUUUAAUAAUCCAAGGAGGGUGGAAAGCCCUCGGUCCCCUCGGCUCGGGGGGCGCCCAGCCAGGCGGGCUCAGCUUCUCGGGCGCGCCCCCGUCACCCCCUCCCAGGUCCUCUGCGGACAGCGCUGAGGGGGCGCGCGCACGGCAGGGCCUCCUCCGGCCUCUGCGACUGGCGUCCAUCUGUCUGUCCGAGGCUCUGGAACAGAGUUCCAGGAGGAGAACGCGGUGCGCAGAGGAAGCUGCCUUGGCCGAGUCGGUGCCACGGCUGGCAAGGCGGGGGUCUCCCAGCACCACCCCUGAGAGCAGGAGAAGAUGCCACACGGGAGGUCCUUCUGAAUACAAGACCUUUCCCCUCACCGCUGAGAUAAGCUCAAAUUCAAGCCCGGCCGCCACCGAAUGGUUCAAUGCCCAGCGUCCAGACAGGCCCAGAGCGCCGUCUACGCCUAUGCACGGCGGAUCCCCUAGCCUGCAUCGGCCUCGUUCUUAUUGAAAUCCCACUGAAAAGAUUCCGACUCCGACUUGGGCAGGGGAAGACUUCCAUACCCUACGCUCUCCCCCACCUGCACCCUCGCCACACAGGAUAAAAGGCCGCGGGGCGCUUCGAGCGGGGGGCACAAGCAGGAGCGAGCCGGGUUAAGCCGUGCAAAGCCGGUGCACGGGACUAGCCGGCAGGUGCAGCCAGCGCCCGGGCAGCCCUGCUUGGGCGCAUCCGUUGCCGCGACCCGGGGGUGGGGAACCACAGAGACAAAGGCCCCAGCUCUAGGGUGGGAGGGGGGCGCGUCGCAAAGCUCUGGAAAGCCGGGUCUCCAGGUCCAGAGCUCCGGAAAAACGGAAGACAGGAGGCCCCAGGCGGGCCUUUGGGUUUCCGGAUGACCUGGGUUUGAGGCACUGGAAGGAUUGUGCGAUCCGGUUGUUGGGAAGGCCCAGCCUGGGACCGGGAGGCUCGGGACGGCGCGGGCCGAGUGCAGGAACUUACCGACUGCGGCGCGGUGGGCGGCGCCCUCGGGCGGCUACGGCCAGGGCUCAGAAAGGAGGCAGCGGUGUGCGCAGCGUGGCUGGUCGGCCCUCGGGAGCCAGGGCGGCCGCGGCGGUCACCAGUGGGGCCCCGCGGAGCGGAACGCAAGCUAGUCGUGUAGGCGGCCGCUUUUGUCCCCCCAAGACCAGCUAUGGUUGAGGUGAUCUCAGGCCAGAGAGACCUGAGCAGUGAGCUACCGCCUCGCUGGCCUGGCUACCUCUCUUGAUUCUGGCUGCCUCUCGGUUCCCGGCCGCAGAGCGGCAGCUUUUUAUUUCGACAUCACUUCGAGGGGGAGGGAACGCCGCAGGGGG
RNAcentral lists this long non-coding RNA (1337 nucleotides) under Rattus norvegicus (Norway rat). RNAcentral describes it as "long non-coding RNA NONRATT033135". The record is from RNAcentral. Lineage: Eukaryota; Metazoa; Chordata; Mammalia; Rodentia; Muridae.